GACAGAGGUGCCGAGCGUUAGGCGGAAUCACUGGGCUUAAGGCGUGUGUAGGCGGAUGGGUAAGUACCUUGUGAAAUCCCACGGCUCAACCGUGGAACUGCUCGGUAUACUGCUCGUCUUGAGCCAACUAGGGGCGACCGGAACAAACGGUGGAGCGGUGAAAUGCGUAGAUAUCGUUUGGAACGCCGAUGGUGAAAACAGGUCGCUGGGGUUGUGCUGACGCUGAGACACGAAAGCCAGGGGAGCGAACGGG
RNAcentral lists this ribosomal RNA (253 nucleotides) under uncultured bacterium. RNAcentral's name for it is "partial 16S ribosomal RNA". It matches the Rfam family "Bacterial small subunit ribosomal RNA", at positions 524 to 776 of the family's 1533-position model. The record is from RNAcentral.